GGUUGCGAUCAUACCAGCACUAAUGCACCGGAUUCCAUCAGAACUCCGUUGUUAAGCGUGCUUGGGCGAGAGUAGUACUAGGAUGGGUGACCCCCUGGGAAGUCCUCGUGUUGCAACCC
RNAcentral lists this ribosomal RNA (119 nucleotides) under Helianthus annuus (common sunflower). Lineage: Eukaryota; Viridiplantae; Streptophyta; Magnoliopsida; Asterales; Asteraceae. The record is from RNAcentral.